UGAGGAAUAUUGGUCAAUGGGCGUAAGCCUGAACCAGCCAAGUCGCGUGAGGGAUGAAGGUUCUAUGGAUCGUAAACCUCUUUUAUAAAGGAAUAAAGUGCGGGACGUGUCCUGUUUUGUAUGUACCUUAUGAAUAAGGAUCGGCUAACUCCGUGCCAGCAGCCGCGGUAAUACGGAGGAUCCGAGCGUUAUCCGGAUUUAUUGGGUUUAAAGGGAGCGUAGGCGGGUCGGUAAGUCAGUUGUGAAAGUUCGGGGCUCAACCCCGGAAUUGCAGUUGAAACUGGGAGGCUUGAGUAUGUUUGAGGCAGGCGGAAUGCGUGGCGUAGCGGUGAAAUGCUUAGAUAUCACGCAGAACCCCGAUUGCGAAGGCAGCCUGCCAAGCCAUGACUGACGCUGAUGCACGAAAGCGUGGGGAUCAAACAGGAUUAGAUACC
This 434-nucleotide ribosomal RNA is filed under the name uncultured bacterium. Its description in RNAcentral is "bacterial SSU rRNA". It matches the Rfam family "Bacterial small subunit ribosomal RNA", at positions 355 to 786 of the family's 1533-position model. The record is from RNAcentral.